Molecule: ribosomal RNA, 2567 nt
Filed under: Escherichia coli DEC15E
Lineage: Bacteria; Pseudomonadati; Pseudomonadota; Gammaproteobacteria; Enterobacterales; Enterobacteriaceae
Description: bacterial LSU rRNA
Rfam family: Bacterial large subunit ribosomal RNA
Source: RNAcentral
GUACACAAAAAUGCACAUACUGUGAGCUCGAUGAGUAGGGCGGGACACGUGGUAUCCUGUCUGAAUAUGGGGGGACCAUCCUCCAAGGCUAAAUACUCCUGACUGACCGAUAGUGAACCAGUACCGUGAGGGAAAGGCGAAAAGAACCCCGGCGAGGGGAGUGAAAAAGAACCUGAAACCGUGUACGUACAAGCAGUGGGAGCACGCCUAGGCGUGUGACUGCGUACCUUUUGUAUAAUGGGUCAGCGACUUAUAUUCUGUAGCAAGGUUAACCGAAUAGGGGAGCCGAAGGGAAACCGAGUCUUAACUGGGCGUUAAGUUGCAGGGUAUAGACCCGAAACCCGGUGAUCUAGCCAUGGGCAGGUUGAAGGUUGGGUAACACUAACUGGAGGACCGAACCGACUAAUGUUGAAAAAUUAGCGGAUGACUUGUGGCUGGGGGUGAAAGGCCAAUCAAACCGGGAGAUAGCUGGUUCUCCCCGAAAGCUAUUUAGGUAGCGCCUCGUGAAUUCAUCUCCGGGGGUAGAGCACUGUUUCGGCAAGGGGGUCAUCCCGACUUACCAACCCGAUGCAAACUGCGAAUACCGGAGAAUGUUAUCACGGGAGACACACGGCGGGUGCUAACGUCCGUCGUGAAGAGGGAAACAACCCAGACCGCCAGCUAAGGUCCCAAAGUCAUGGUUAAGUGGGAAACGAUGUGGGAAGGCCCAGACAGCCAGGAUGUUGGCUUAGAAGCAGCCAUCAUUUAAAGAAAGCGUAAUAGCUCACUGGUCGAGUCGGCCUGCGCGGAAGAUGUAACGGGGCUAAACCAUGCACCGAAGCUGCGGCAGCGACGCUUAUGCGUUGUUGGGUAGGGGAGCGUUCUGUAAGCCUGCGAAGGUGUGCUGUGAGGCAUGCUGGAGGUAUCAGAAGUGCGAAUGCUGACAUAAGUAACGAUAAAGCGGGUGAAAAGCCCGCUCGCCGGAAGACCAAGGGUUCCUGUCCAACGUUAAUCGGGGCAGGGUGAGUCGACCCCUAAGGCGAGGCCGAAAGGCGUAGUCGAUGGGAAACAGGUUAAUAUUCCUGUACUUGGUGUUACUGCGAAGGGGGGACGGAGAAGGCUAUGUUGGCCGGGCGACGGUUGUCCCGGUUUAAGCGUGUAGGCUGGUUUUCCAGGCAAAUCCGGAAAAUCAAGGCUGAGGCGUGAUGACGAGGCACUACGGUGCUGAAGCAACAAAUGCCCUGCUUCCAGGAAAAGCCUCUAAGCAUCAGGUAACAUCAAAUCGUACCCCAAACCGACACAGGUGGUCAGGUAGAGAAUACCAAGGCGCUUGAGAGAACUCGGGUGAAGGAACUAGGCAAAAUGGUGCCGUAACUUCGGGAGAAGGCACGCUGAUAUGUAGGUGAAGUCCCUUGCGGAUGGAGCUGAAAUCAGUCGAAGAUACCAGCUGGCUGCAACUGUUUAUUAAAAACACAGCACUGUGCAAACACGAAAGUGGACGUAUACGGUGUGACGCCUGCCCGGUGCCGGAAGGUUAAUUGAUGGGGUUAGCGCAAGCGAAGCUCUUGAUCGAAGCCCCGGUAAACGGCGGCCGUAACUAUAACGGUCCUAAGGUAGCGAAAUUCCUUGUCGGGUAAGUUCCGACCUGCACGAAUGGCGUAAUGAUGGCCAGGCUGUCUCCACCCGAGACUCAGUGAAAUUGAACUCGCUGUGAAGAUGCAGUGUACCCGCGGCAAGACGGAAAGACCCCGUGAACCUUUACUAUAGCUUGACACUGAACAUUGAGCCUUGAUGUGUAGGAUAGGUGGGAGGCUUUGAAGUGUGGACGCCAGUCUGCAUGGAGCCGACCUUGAAAUACCACCCUUUAAUGUUUGAUGUUCUAACGUUGACCCGUGAUCCGGGUUGCGGACAGUGUCUGGUGGGUAGUUUGACUGGGGCGGUCUCCUCCUAAAGAGUAACGGAGGAGCACGAAGGUUGGCUAAUCCUGGUCGGACAUCAGGAGGUUAGUGCAAUGGCAUAAGCCAGCUUGACUGCGAGCGUGACGGCGCGAGCAGGUGCGAAAGCAGGUCAUAGUGAUCCGGUGGUUCUGAAUGGAAGGGCCAUCGCUCAACGGAUAAAAGGUACUCCGGGGAUAACAGGCUGAUACCGCCCAAGAGUUCAUAUCGACGGCGGUGUUUGGCACCUCGAUGUCGGCUCAUCACAUCCUGGGGCUGAAGUAGGUCCCAAGGGUAUGGCUGUUCGCCAUUUAAAGUGGUACGCGAGCUGGGUUUAGAACGUCGUGAGACAGUUCGGUCCCUAUCUGCCGUGGGCGCUGGAGAAUUGAGGGGGGCUGCUCCUAGUACGAGAGGACCGGAGUGGACGCAUCACUGGUGUUCGGGUUGUCAUGCCAAUGGCACUGCCCGGUAGCUAAAUGCGGAAGAGAUAAGUGCUGAAAGCAUCUAAGCACGAAACUUGCCCCGAGAUGAGUUCUCCCUGACUCCUUGAGAGUCCUGAAGGAACGUUGAAGACGACGACGUUGAUAGGCCGGGUGUGUAAGCGCAGCGAUGCGUUGAGCUAACCGGUACUAAUGAACCGUGAGGCUUAACCUU